UGCUUGAAAAGGCCUACCUAAGAUCUUGGCGGGAUGCACGCCAGAAAAGCCAUGGCAGCUGACUUUCACCAAAUCCCCAACUUUAUACUGGCAAAACUCCUUUCUUGGAUCUUUGAUGCGUGAUAUGGUUAUGAUGCUGACCUUUUCUUCCUCUAUCCACUCCAUAAGGGCAUACAUGGUUCGUUGAACAAAGUAAUAAUAGAACCUUUCAACUUUCACCUUCUUGAACCGACGCUAUCUUGUUUGAAAAUGGAGAGCGGAGCCGAUUUGACCAAUCAGCGAUUAGAGGAAAUACCAGAAUCAAGGAAUUCAAAACCUUUAUGACUUCAAAUGAUUAAAAAUCGUAAAGUAUAUACGUGAGAUUUUUUUUAGUUAUUCAUCAGUUUUGCUGAAAUUGAUCAGGAACAAUCAAACGUAUUUUUAUUUUUACGUAAAUACCCGAUUCGCACAUUUCCGGUUAUUCCGUAUGUAAACGAAGAAGGCGCCAUUUUAAAAACAAAGAUUGAAAUAAAAGCGAAACACUCGUCACUGCUCCGAAGCUAUGUACCCUCACAAACGUGGUAGCUACCAGGUUUUCCAUGCCGAUAAGUCUAAUCCAACACUCAAAGUAUCCCUUUGGCGAAUGCAACAAGGAAAAGACAACAUUUCAUCAGAAAAUUUCGACAAUCGAAGUGUGGCGUGUGAAACUGCUGGCCCUGUCGCCAUUAUGAUUAUCGAUGCCUUUCAUGAGAAAUCAUUUAACCAGUUGCUUCAAGAUGUUGCUGAAGAACCUGCUUUCUUACCAUAUCAUAUAUGUUGACGGAGAUUCAGAAUGAGACAAAGAGUUUGAUAUAUGAUCCUACACCUGACAGAAAAAGUUGAGGAUCUUGGACCACUUUGGUGCUCAUCUUGUUUCUAUUUUGAGGAUUGUAGUGGAUAAUUGAGAUGCUUUUUCCAUGGCAUCCAACAUAUUGAAACCCAAAUAGCAUUUGCGGUUAGUGUUCAUCAGCAGCUACUGACGUUGUCCCAAGCUCUGAAGUUUGACAGCAGUGAAAGGGAACAGACAGGGUUGCUGUUAUUGGAGCCUAUGUAAAAGACCUUUGAAAUCUGAGGAACAGGCAGUCCUUUUGACCUUAGCUGGAGAGUAGGUCCGUGUGGUUUUCUUCAAAAGACUACUUGUGGACGAACAGGUUGAGACAACAAAAUAAUUCGAUUCAAGGAAACGUUCAUUGGGAGAUUAGAAACUUUUGUUAAAGUAACAGGACAUGACUACAAAUGAAAAACUUUGUUUUGUUUUCACAGUUCCUAACAGGAUUGAACAGGAAUAUAACAUGAACAUGUUCAAUGUCCAGAACAGAGACAUCAUUUAACAGUCAUACCUUGUUUUGUGUCACAUUUACCAAUGAGAUUUGAAUAUAGAAAUAUUUUUUGAUACUUUUUUGGAAAAGACGUUUUUAUAGAUAUGCCUUAAUUUGAUUUUGAUAGACUAUGCAUACCUAAAUUGAUGAAUAGUGUCUCUUUUAACAUGGAACAGAAGUCCAUAUGGACUUAUUUUUAAUAAAUACUGUGACAUAUCUCA
Ostrea edulis (European flat oyster) is the source of this 1558-nucleotide long non-coding RNA. RefSeq lists it as uncharacterized. Lineage: Eukaryota; Metazoa; Mollusca; Bivalvia; Ostreida; Ostreidae. The transcript is spliced from 2 exons. The record is from RefSeq and is a predicted model, not a curated record.